AGUGAACGCUGGCGGUAGGCCUAACACAUGCAAGUCGAACGGCAGCACAGUAAGAGCUUGCUCUUACGGGUGGCGAGUGACGGACGGGUGAGGAAUACAUCGGAAUCUACUUUUUCGUGGGGGAUAACGUAGGGAAACUUACGCUAAUACCGCAUACGACCUACGGGUGAAAGCAGGGGAUCUUCGGACCUUGCGCGAUUGAAUGAGCCGAUGUCGGAUUAGCUAGUUGGCGGGGUAAAGGCCCACCAAGGCGACGAUCCGUAGCUGGUCUGAGAGGAUGAUCAGCCACACUGGAACUGAGACACGGUCCAGACUCCUACGGGAGGCAGCAGUGGGGAAUAUUGGACAAUGGGCGCAAGCCUGAUCCAGCCAUACCGCGUGGGUGAAGAAGGCCUUCGGGUUGUAAAGCCCUUUUGUUGGGAAAGAAAAGCAGCAGGUUAAUACCUCGCUGUUCUGACGGUACCCAAAGAAUAAGCACCGGCUAACUUCGUG
This 492-nucleotide ribosomal RNA is filed under the name uncultured bacterium. RNAcentral's name for it is "partial 16S ribosomal RNA". It matches the Rfam family "Bacterial small subunit ribosomal RNA", at positions 29 to 507 of the family's 1533-position model. The record is from RNAcentral.